This is a non-coding RNA of Cyanistes caeruleus (blue tit), 11284 nucleotides long. The record is from RefSeq and is a predicted model, not a curated record. NCBI's taxonomy places the organism in Eukaryota, Metazoa, Chordata, Aves, Passeriformes, Paridae.
AGAAGAGAUUCAAAAGCUAUAAAGUCCUGUUUAGGCCAACAAGUUGCUACAUUUCUUGAGCAAGGACAAUUUUCUUAGUACAAUCAUUUCCUCCAACAAGGUAACUCAUGUAAACACCAUCAGGGUUGUACUGUUUGUUCUGUGCUGCCAGAUGGGGGAUAUAAACCAUGCAGAAACAAUUUCAGAUUUCCACCCUGAUUAGUUCAUCUUGAAUAUUUUCACAGUGUGAAUCUGGAAGUCAGAAGUUUACAUAAUGGUUAUAAAUUAGGGAGAAAUCCUGCUGCCAAGAAAGUCACACUCAAGCAAACAAACUGUCUCCUUCCUAACAUGUUUUAGGUGUUGCUUAUCAAACACAUUCUGGGCUGUAGGUGGAAAAAGACCUUGAAUUCCUCUUCGGUUUUUGGAUUGCUGUUUUCCCACCGCGGGCUGUUUAGUCACAGCGGUGAUUGACCCGCACCGUCCCCAUCCCGCGCCCGGUGCCCGGCCCGGCGAGCGCAGCUUGCGGCAGCCUGCAGCUCCCUCCGGGGGCCAGCCGAGAGCGAGCCCGCAGCCUCCCGAAACCCUCGAGGAGCUUUGAGCCAUCGGCCAGAGAGAAACUUCACUCAGGAAAACAUACCCCCUGCAAGUCCUCGAGUCCUUCACACCAGAGUUUUGCUACCAGGCAGCCGAAGGGGUGACUUGUCCUGCAUCCCUGAACUUCUCUCAUCCACGUUGUGCCUUCCUGAGCUUCUUCAGAGCACAGCUUUGGCUGGUUUUUACUGUCACCCCUAAACACAAGCCUCAACUCCAGUAUUAUUUUACAAAAACUCAACAUAAUGCCAGUUCUUAUUAGACUCUAUGGUGGCUGUGGUUGAAAAGAAAAUAAAGAUCACAGUGUGCCUGUAGAGUAGAUAACAAAUACCCGAGUCAGGCUUAUGCAAAGGCAACUCUCAAGGCACAGGCAGAUGGAGUAGGCAAAAGGUAAAGUUUACACAUUCUUUCCAAUUGGCUUGGCUGAGUGCUAAAGCCAGUAAAGCGCUUGCUUUUAUUCAGAAAUCAAUUUAAAAUCCAUCAUGUGCCAGAUAUAUAAUUGAAAAUUCUGGUUAUUGUAAGUACAAGGGUAAAUUCUGCCCUCUGAUACAUGCACAAGUUCAGCUUCCCUUUAGAAUCAUCAGGGUUAAUGUACAUACAUGUCAGGGCAGAGUUUAGUAUUAUCUCCGUGGAGCAGCGAACAACAUUAGGUCAAACAGGCCGGUUUCAUUUAAUACUAAGCAUGUUUAAGGAGAAAUGUCAGAGUUCAGUUCCGCUGGCUAAUGAUGUAAACCAGGAAUCACUGAAGCCAGACACCUAUUCUGAUCUUAUACCAAAUUUGUGUUAGGAUUACUCACUGAAAUAAAUCAGUUCUUUACCAGGAAUCCACCCUACUGACACAUGAGCAGUUCAUAAACUUUGCUCAGACAAGGAAAUCAUGCCAUGCAGAAACUGCAGAGAUCCAGAGUUCAGUGGAGAUGCCAUGGGAGCUGAACUCCGUUUGCAGGCCCACCUUAGGGUAGAUGCUGUCUGCAAGGGCCCUGCCUCCUCUUGGGUUAUCAUCUUCCUCUGCUUCCUGCCUGCAGACCAAAGAAAACCCCAGGCACAGUGGCUUCAUUAAUUUCUCACAGAGAUGGGCUCAAGUCACUGGUGAAGCUGCAGUGAGGUAAACCAGGGAGUGGAUUUCGGGAAGCUCAGCCACCUCACCCAUGGAUGACCUUGUUCCACAGCCAGUGUAGGUAACUUACUUGACCUUUGAUACCAAGACUGGAUGUUUGUAUAUGUCAGAUGAAAUAAAUGUAAAUCCAGGUCUACAGGCUAAAAAAAAAAAAAAAAAUAGUUACAGAGGAUUUUAAAGUAUUAGCCAAAAAUCAGUUUAUAUUUACUGCAGAUGCUAUAUUUUAGGUUAAAAAAGUUCCUAGGAUUAAGAUCAUAAAAGCGCCCUCACUGAUAAAAAUAUUUUAUAGACUAUUUACAGAAUAGUCUACAAAACAAUAUUCAUCAUUGUGUACACUUCUUUUGAUCUUUUAACUUCCUAAAAAUCAAAAUAAUAAGAGGCUGCAGAGAAAAAUCCAGCAUAGGCCAGAAGAUGCACCAUGUAGGAUACUGUUUAUCUGUUAUUUGCAUCUACUGUGACUGUGAGUGAAACACAGAAUAUAACCUUCAGUUACUUACUUUAAGAGUAUCUCUGUCUAUUUUAAGGACUAAUUCUAAAGCAAAUUCCUCAUUCUGCAUGUCUUCUGACUUACACUCAUUUAAACUAGGGACAUAUUCACACAACUUGGCACAGAUAACCAAAUAUUAUUUAAUUAUUUAUUAUCAUUGUGGCUUCAUUUUCUUCUCUGAAAUGGCUUGGAUUGUUUUCCUGAAAAAUGAUAAUUUCUUACUUUAUCCAUUAUCCACUCAUAGUUCUUAUGUGAGCUCCAGGGAGGACACAUAUUUCUUCUCAAAUUUUUCAGAAAGCUCCAGCUGAAGAAUCCUGUAACUGGAGUAAUUUUUAUUACCUUAACACUCUUUACUUCAAGCUGUAUCUCUCCAAAGAAAAGCCUAAGGCUAUUCUAACAAUCCAGAGGAUCCUGACCCUUUAAAAAUCACCUCUGAUCUUGGAGAAGAGCUUCCAUGUUUCACAUGAAUGCAGCCUUCCUUCCCAAUCUAUUUUAGAUUUUUUUACAAUCCCCAUGUUAGCCAGGAAGUCUCUGAAGCUCAGCUCCUACCAGAAUAGUUUUAUACCUUAUACCUUUGACAGGAACUGCUGGCAUUCGCCUGCAGGAAGCUGACAUGUGAUUUAGGAGGGGAUAAAACAUGUACAUGUUUGUUACUUGAAUUUUACAGCUCUUCAGGGAAUGAAAAUCUUUUUCACAAAGGAUUUAAAACCUUGGCUUUUUUCCCCACUAGAAAAUUUCAAAAUUCUCUGAAGGGAAAUGGCUGGAUGAAAUUAAUUUGAGGUCAAUUGAAAGGUUUCAGUCUGACCAAACCCAAAAUCCUUUUAAUUUUGUCUUUUGUAUUUUUAUUUUUUUUUUUACAUUAUAAUAUACUGAGCAGAAUAAAAUAUGAGAUGCUGUUCCUAAUGCUUUAAAUAAAGUCUUGAACAUAUGGCCUAAAUGUAACUGAUACAUUGAUGUCUAGCUGAGUUUAUGGAAACCCUAAAACAACAACUGUUGGAGAUGUGAAAUGAGCUAUUCAUCCUGACUCAUGUCCAGGAGUGAUACUUAAUAACAAUGAUAUUUAAAAUAGUUUAUCAAGGAACAUGACAAACAGAAUAGGAGAAAAGGGCAUGAUACAGGAAAGACCAGGUGGUGUAAGAGACAGCUUAAUUUGGUGCCAAGAACAAACUAGAUUUGCUAAAACUAUAUUUUUAUAAAGUUAUAAAUGUUCUUGUAUCGUUGCAUACUUAUCUGCUUUCCAAGUCAAGACACACAAAACCUCCAACAGCAAUAAAGCUCUGCUAAGGGGAAGAGUCUCAGGAGACAGAUUUUUUGGUGCCGCCAAAACCUGCACUGGUUUAAUGCACAGCCAUUUGCAUUGAGUGGUAGAAUAUUUUGGUGUAUCAUUUAACUGAAACCUGUUCCAUCAGAGGAGCUUUCCAUUCUCUCCACCACCACCACCCCAUUAGCAUUAUAGCUUCACCAGCUUGAAGGACAGGAAGGUAAUCAGGAACAGUCAACAUCAGCAGAUCACACAGCACCAGCCCAAGUGCUUUUGAUGAAGAAAUAAGUGUCUGUGCAGAUAACAUGUAAUACACUCUGGCUUCUGUAAAACUGUUCACACCAUCCCACACAGUGUUUUCAUGUGUAGGCUGAGGAAAUACCGGCUAGACAAACUGUCUUCAAGAUGGGUUGAAUACUGGCCAAGGCACCUCAUUCUAAUUAGUGUCUCAGUAUCAAUUUGGCAGCCAGAAACAAGCAGAGCAGCCUGGGAACUGAUAGUAGGACUGGUGCUCUUCAUCAUCUUUUGCCAUGACCUGGAAAAUGAGACAGAAGCCACCCUUGUCAAAUGUGUAGACAAUACUUAAUUAACUGCAAACUGCAGGGUUUGACACACUCUACAACUGGAGUAUGAAGCCAAAGAGACCCUGACAAACUUGAAGAUUAAUCUAAGAGAAGUUUCACAAAAUUCAGUCAGGAUAAAUGCAAAGGUUUAUACCUGGGGCAAGCACAAGUCAGUGAGCAAAUUUUCUGAACAGCAGCCUUUUUGAAAAGGACAUUUGGCACUUAGGGAAUACCAGACUAAUGGACAUGAGUGUGCUCUGAUCACAAGCACAGAAAAUGGUAUGAUGGAUCACAUUAGGAGGAAUGUGGCCAGAGGAAGGCCAGAAGAAGUUGCCCUGCCUUUCAGCAGUGAUGUGGAGGCAAAGGGGUGAUUUAACAGCAGACUACAACUCUUUGGAGGACAGUUGUAAAGUUGACAAUGGGACAAAACUACUCUCAGGAGAAGGAGAUAAUUUAACAAAGGGCAAGAACAAAGUGCUGCAGCUUGGGAGGUUCACCUGGAACAUCAGAAUUCUUCACUAGGAUGGUAGUGUAACACUGGAGCCCACAUCUGCAUGGAAGGCCUGUCCUCAGAGAGUUUCAAGAAUCAUCUAGACUUGACCUCAACUGGUCAGAUCUACUGUUGUUGUAGUCCUGCUGUAAUCAAGAUACUGUACUAGAUGACCUCCAGAGAGGUUCUCUUAUUUCCUUGAUCCUCUGAUUCACUGUUUUUAUAAUAGCCUCCCCUUCAAUAUAUUAGGAAUGAAAAUUCAGAAAAAAGUCCCUCUCAGAAUAUGAAGCUGUGUAAAAAUGACCUCAAUAUACUCUUUUAAUGUAGACACAAAUCUUUUAUAAUGUAAUUAGAAAAUAACAGGACACAGGUGUGUGAAGUGGAUCACCAAGUUAAUGUGGCUUGCUAAACUUUUAUUGCCUAAGAUAAUACAUAGCAGACAAGAGAUUUCACUUGAUUACUUUAUCCUACAUUCUUUACAGCAAUGACAAUGAGAAAUCUAAAUCCCUUCCUCCCUUUCUUCCUGGCAAGAUCUUUACUCAUCAGUUCAGUAUGCAAAGGAUGGGAAUCAUGAUGACUAAUUGGGAUUUAUUUCAGUAUUCAGUCCUCUGUUUUGUGAGAGAAGGUAACUGAGUACAAGUCUGGUCACAAUCUAGAAUUUAGGUCCAAUGUACUGACUCAAUCCCGUAUUAGUCAGAAUUUGGUCAUGACUACAAGCUAAAGUGUUCUUUCCUUUGAUUAUAGAUGCAUUGAAAUUCUCUGUUAAGGGAAAAAAAACCCCAAACAUAUCAGAGUCUGCUGAGGGGAUAUCUUAUAAUUUCAACUCACUACUAGUGAAACUCCACUGACUGGACAAAUGUCACCAGGAUAUUUACUGUAAAUCAGUAACUUCCCAGAAACACAAUUUCCCACAGCCUUGGGAGCAGUUCAGCAUUGCUUUUUAAGAUAUAUGUAAGAUAAAAUUAACAUGGUGGGAAACACUACCUACAUGUGAUUCCCCAAGUAGACAGAUAAUAAACAACACAGUGAAACAGGAACCACCAGAGAAGUUUCCUCAAACAGAGAAUUGGAAGUUGUUAACACAGAGAUUCUGAAAAUGGGCAGUUCUGGCCUCUGGAGAGACUUUUUUCAGUCUGUGUGGCCCUUGGAAUAUUUUCAUCCAAGAGGAGUUCCCUUGGAUGAGAUCCUUGGAAAAUAUUUCCCUUUGAUCUCUGGUGUAUUACUCCUCUUUUGCAGCCAGCCAAAGUUUAAAACUAACUUGACUCCCCUUUGACUGAUACCACUUCUACAGUCAAAUAUAGAAUUAGUAUAGAAGGGAUCAGAAAGACCCCAAGAAGCACUGCAAAUAAUCAAAAAACUGCUCAUGUUGGGCAGUGGUAAAAUGAAAAUUUUGAAUAUGUCCGGAAGAGUCUUGUGUCAUCAGCACCAGAUGCUUAGACAUAAAUGGGCUAUAGAGAGAAUCAUAAAUGAGUGUAGAACUCACAGUUGCACAGAAGACAAUGGAACCAGAUCAACUCAUACCACCUGGGAAUCUGGGCUCUGAAGACUGAAGUCAUAACAAUGGAACUAAAAAUAAGUUCCCACAAACUGGCCCACUCAUCAGCACUGUAUCUUGCCUUAGUGAAGCUGGAGAUCUGCUACUAAUACAGGCUUCUCUGCCCUAAAUCAUUUAUUUUGGCAGCUCAUAAAAUAUGGAAACUCUAACACUCAAUAUUCCCCACUCUCUCAUGAUUACUGUUCAGGGACAGACUCUUUAUAUCAAACAGAAACUUAAAGAUUGUGGCAUGUUAUCAAAACCAUAAUGAAAUCUUGUGCAAGCAUAGUAAUCAGAGAGGGCUAUUUGUCAAGACAUACUGUAGAGAAAAACAAAAUCCCACAGUAGAAACAGGAGUGCUUGCUCUGCCGAGAGAUACUGUGAAAAUGAAAUGCUCUUUUUUUUCCUCCUCCUUAAUCAAAACUCAGUAUGAAAACAAAAACCUUACCAAAUAACUUUUGCUGAUAAAAAAAAUGUUGGCUGGAUAGGAGUAGUGCAUAAUUUAUACAGAAAUAACAUUAAAAGGGGGAUUGUUCUCAUAGAUAUUUCUGAGUGUGUGAUCAAAAAUUUUGGCCCUGGGGAGAGUUCAUGUUACUGCCACUACUGGGUUGAAGCUGGAUUUUACUCUCUCUGUGAGACAGUCAAAACCUGGUAAGUUGCUCAGGGAAUGAAGGUGUGGGCAGAUCUGAUAUUACUUAGGAAGUCCCUGGUGAGGGCAUGCCUGUGUUUUGACCUCACCUGCAGCAGGAGGUUACCUAUUCUAUCCACAAAAUAUCUGUAGAGGUUUAAACUUUACUCAUUGCUUAAUGAAGAGAAGCUCUGGAGGGGGAGUUACAUGCUCUGGGAUCUCCUUCUGGCUGUGCUAUUGAUUUGCGAGCCAGAAGCCUACUCAGUAAAUCAGGGAUAACAUUAUUAAGUUACUUAAAUGGACUGUUGGGAUGUUAAUUACCCAGCACGUUUGCAGUCAGUCUGCCCUUCUGAAAAUUAAGCCGCUUGGCUGUCUAAAUGAUGCUUAACUCUGAGUGCAAAGAUCAAACACUUCAGCUUAAAUGUCCCCAUUCUCAGCUCCACAAGCUUUCAUAGUACCAUCAUAUUUUCAAAUACCAUCCCAUUUUUAGAGGAGGAGGACAUGGUUAGGUCAGGAUUAUGUUUCAACCAGAGAUCUGUAAAGAUCUUAAAAGAAACAGUGCUAUCUAGUGUUAUUGUUUGCACAGUUGCACAAGCACUGAAUUACUGACUGUGUAUGUAAAUGCUGAUGAGUACAGGGCAGAAAGGCUGUGUGGCUACAUGGGUAUAACAGAAUACUUUAUUUUUGAUCAUAAGUACAAUCUAUUACUGUGGCAGAGCAAUGCAAGGUUAGUACCUGUCAACAAGACAGCUGGAGGCCUCUUUUCCACUGAUAAAUGUUGAGUGCAGCUGUACUUGGCACAUGCUUAGGCUGUAAACAGGAGCCGUGGCUUUAACAUCAUUCUGAUUUUUCCACUCCUGAUAAUUGCUGCUUCCAGUUCCUCAGGAGUGGUGCCCAGGUGGAAUCCUGAAAUCUAUUCAAAUCCAGAGAACAAAUUCACUCUGAGAGCUGCAUGGCUUUGUAGACAUCGGAAUUCAUUAAUUCAUCUGUAUCAGGUGAAAGAAUUCUAAAUCCUUAAUUUUAGUUACACUUAGACUCUCAGAAGUUGCUUCAUUUGUGGACAACCACAGACAGAGCUGGGCUUUCCAUGUUCAUGGUAACAUCCAAUUUUUUGGGGCAGCCCACACUCCACUGAGGAAGUGGAUAUGAUUAUUCCCAAGGAUGGUCUCAUGGUCAGGGCACUUGCCAGAGCUGCAGUUCUACUAUCCAUAAGCUAAAUAAUUUGUGACUGCAGGACUCCUUUUUCUUGGAUUUCAGGGUGAUAUGGAAAAGGUGACUGUAGAAACUAGACCCACCCAGCUCCAAGAGGUGUGCAUUGUAGGAAGAAAGCAAUCAUACCUUGAAUGAAGUACUUAGUAUUUUCUAUUUGGAUCUGCCCCACUAUACUCUUUUAGUUGUGCAAGAUUUAACUAUGUGACCAAGAGUAAUCUGAAAUAUUAACAUGAAAAGAGAAAAUUUAAGACUCAAAUCAAAGUAAUGUAGGACAGCAGGUAUCAGACAGAAUCCACAUUUUUAAUUCAGAGCACUGUGGACAGCAAAUCCAUCAACAGGAAAGGUCUUCACCUUCAUUUUUCUAUAUAAAAAUGUAAAUAUUAAUAGUUAGCAAAAAGGAUCAUAAGAAAAGGAUAAGUAGAUAAAAACCUCUUGACUUCCCUACAGAACCUUCAAAGUGAGACAGCUAGAAACAUCCUCCUGACCCAUUGUCCUAAAUCCAUAUGUUCUCUUUUCCUUGAUAAAUCUUUUAUUUGUUUUACUUUCCACACUAAACUCUAUGACCAGUUGUGCUCUUUCUUCAUAUCAGCUUCUGAUUUUACCUUGUACCUGCCAGUUGUACAAACCUUCACAGCUUUCAACAUUUCAUGUUUUGUCUCUAUCUGUCACUCUGGAUGCCUUACCAAAGAGCAACACUGCUUUCAGCCAAAAUUCUAAAGACAAUUUAUCUACAAUGACAAACUAGAGGUGAAGCUGAAAGGUAAGUGGAUCUUUACUGUGGUUUGGGCUUUGGUUUCCUUAAAGAAUGUGAUUAACGAAUGUUGUUUAUCAAAACUCUAGGACUUGUUACAAUGGUUUCUCCAUGUAUCCCAGGGAUGCACCUAGGAGGGCUUUGAGGUAACUCAAAUUGAACUCAAUGUGAACUCAUUCUACCUGACACCUGUACCAACCCCAAGUGAUGCAGAUGCAGAUUCAGUGUGCAGCUGUAACUGGUGCUGAUUUGGAGCUGAAUGGAACUGUUCAGCUGGCUUGAAUCACCCACAGAAGCACCCGUGAGACUUGUUUGUCCUGCUCUAGGUAUCCACAGCAUUAGUGUCAGCAUCUGAGUCAACCUUCUACACUGCUUUUAGAAUCACUGGGGAGAUAGAAUCACCCUUUGGAGAUCCUGUCUUUCCUUGCUGAAUGCAAAGGAAGCCUGUGCAAUUCUAAGUCCAGUUUUCCAGGCUCAGAUAACAGUUCCUGGAUGUGGAUAUGAAUGUAUCUGGUGUCAAAUGGUUACACAGCUGGAUCUUCAUUUAUAAACCUUCUCCUCAGAGCAGUCAUCUGCUGAUGGCAUCUAGAAAACUUACAAGCAUUUCCUUCACCAUGGUUCAUAGUGCAUCUUGAAUGUCCAGCAAAGAACAGACAUGGCUCUGGCAGAAGCUGUAAUUGUGCAGCUUCCAUCACUCUUGCUGGUUAUGGUAAACUUUGUAGAAGUGCACUCCUCCUGCUGUGAGAUUAAAAAUAUCCAAGAAGAGGAAUUUCCUUACAUUCUUUUCAUAGACCUCUAACCUCUUUAAAAAACUCAAAGUGAACAUCAAACCAAGGCCAAUAAAUUGUUUUACAAAAUGUGCUGUGAAAACGAAAAAUGAUGUUAACUUUGUCAUAAUGUGGUCUGUCACUGUGCCAGGAUGAAAACUGUUUCAUUUAAUGCCCAACAAAAGUAGGGUUGUUUUGGUUUUUUUAUUCCCCAGCAUCAUCCAGAAAAGACAGUUUUUAUUGUCUUUUGUUUCAUUUUUAUUUCAGACUUAUUUUUAUUAAACAGAAUGUUAAGAUACCUGGUUUUGGAGCAUGUUUAACAUCUCUAUCUAUUGUUAGUAUUUUCCACAUACCUUGCUUUUAUUGUUCUUAAUAAAAUUGACAGAACAAAAGGAUUAUUUUGCCAAAACUGGAGAUAACCACACUUCAUGAAAUUCACUAAUUCUGAAUAUUGUUAAUUAAUGUAAGUAAUCAUAUUUCACAUGUUCUAUUGCAAUAUUAUUUCUGUGUCUCUCAGGCUAAUUUUCACAGUAUUAUUUGGGUUUUUUUGAGCACAACAAACUGGGAAAUAAAAGUCUGUAUUAAUUCCUCCUCAUUUUAGAAAUAUAACAUGGAGUACUUCUGGUAAGUAUGCUUUAGGAUCACAGUUUCCCUGAGUUCUGUCUACAGUAACAGAAGAUAGACAGGAGCCACCAGAGGGAGGUUGAGCCCAUAGAAGGCCUAUACCAAAGCAGCAUAUAAAACAGAAGUGUUUCUGGAAGGGAAUAUAGAAGAAGAAAAGAACAAGGAAGAGAAAUGAAGAAAAAAAAAAAGGAAAAAAAAACCCCACACACCAAAAGUUGACAUUAUUUUGUGACACGAAUAUUUGGUUCACGUACAGUUUGAUCAUUGUGUUGUCAUCCCCUCAUCUCUAAGAGAUUUUAGCAACCUAGCAAGAGAGAGACAAGAAAGAUAAAAGUGGGCACUGAAGUGGAAAUACUUCCACCAAAGAGACAUGAAAUUUGGCUUGGAGUCUUCAGCCUGAGGAAGAUCUUUCAGAAAUGUGUACAAUAAUGUCCCUCAAAGAAAGUGGAGGAGAUAGUCACUGUGUCUCAUUUUAUUUCAGGAGGGGAUUUUACCAAAUGAGAUAAAGCCAUGGCAGACUUGAAAAAAAAAAUGUAAGGGUAUGUAACAGUAAGAAAUAAAAUUCAGAAGUCAUUGCAUUGUGCUGCAGUAGUAGGUUUGAGGAGAUCUGGCACACUCAUGGCAUAGAGAUAAUUCAAAGCCUGCUCUCAGAUAUGGGGCUCUGGACAGUGUGGAUGUUUGGCCUGACUCACUUUUAUCCUCCUUGACUUGUUUUUCUGAAUAGGUUUUUGUGGCUCACCAAUGAAGGGAAGCUUUAACUCUAGCUCACUAAUGUGCAGUUAUUAGCUCACUAAUGUUUCUAAAGGUGAUGGGAAGGUCUUAAAGUGCUCCCUUGCCUCACUUAGAAAAUCUGUGGUGCAGCAGGGCAACUCACUCCAAGUCUAUAGCUAGCAACCAAAGACAUCCAUCACAUCUAAACAGCAUUUUAUUUUUUAACUUACACAGCUUUUUCAUGAAGUUCAAAUUCACAGUUCAAUUAUUCACAGCCUGGAAAGAGGGCAUCUGCAGUCACUUGGAGGAUUUGGUCUCCUGCAUGGCCAUAUGAGACACUUCAGUCAACUUGUGGGCACAAACAUAAUUUCUGAGUUUCAUGUGUAUAUAUCUAUGUUAUCAUAUUCUCUCACUGUGAAAGCAGUAACUACUGUAUGUGGUAAAAUGAUAUAUUGUUGUCCGCAAAAUGUCUUUGGCAACAGGAUGUUCACUAGCCUUGGAAUUUUGCCUUGUAUAAAUAUUUUUAAUCUACUCCAUGUAGGCAUAUUUUGGCUGCAAAAUAAAGGGUU